RNAcentral lists this ribosomal RNA (468 nucleotides) under uncultured haloarchaeon. Its description in RNAcentral is "bacterial SSU rRNA". It matches the Rfam family "Archaeal small subunit ribosomal RNA", at positions 58 to 526 of the family's 1478-position model. The record is from RNAcentral. Lineage: Archaea; Methanobacteriati; Methanobacteriota; Halobacteria; Halobacteriales; Halobacteriaceae.
UCGUGCGAGUUCAGACUCGCGGCACCGAGCUCAGUAACACGUGGCCAAACUACCCUACAGAGACGGAUACCCUCGGGAAACUGAGGUUAACCCGUCAUACCGAUCUCAGGCUUGAAUCGCAGAGAUCACAAAACGCCCCGGCGCUGUAGGAUGUGGCUGCGGUUGAUUAGGUAGACGGUGGGGUAACGGCCCACCGUGCCCAUAAUCAGUACAGGUUGUGAGAGCAAGAACCUGGAGACGGAAUCUGAGACAAGAUUCCGGGCCCUACGGGGCGCAGCAGGCGCGAAACCUUUACACUGCACGCACGUGCGAUAAGGGGACUCCGAGUGCGAGGGCAUAUCGUCCUCGCUUUCGUGUACCGUAGGGUGGUACACCAACAAGGGCUGGGCAAGACCGGUGCCAGCCGCCGCGGUAAUACCGGCAGCCCGAGUGAUGGCCGAUCUUAUUGGGCCUAAAGCGUCCGUAGCU